GAACGCUGGCGGCGUGCUUAACACAUGCAAGUCGAACGGAAAGGCCCUGCUUUUGUGGGGUGCUCGAGUGGCGAACGGGUGAGUAACACGUGAGUAACCUGCCCUUGACUUUGGGUUAACUUCAGGAAACUGGGGCUAAUACCGGAUAGGAGCUCCUGCUGCAUGGUGGGGGUUGGAAAGUUUCGGCGGUUGGGGAUGGACUCGCGGCUUAUCAGCUUGUUGGUGGGGUAGUGGCUUACCAAGGCUUUGACGGGUAGCCGGCCUGAGAGGGUGACCGGCCACAUUGGGACUGAGAUACGGCCCAGACUCCUACGGGAGGCAGCAGUGGGGAAUAUUGCACAAUGGGCGGAAGCCUGAUGCAGCAACGCCGCGUGCGGGAUGACGGCCUUCGGGUUGUAAACCGCUUUCGCCUGUGACGAAGCGUGAGUGACGGUAAUGGGUAAAGAAGCACCGGCUAACUACGUG
This 465-nucleotide ribosomal RNA is filed under the name uncultured bacterium. RNAcentral describes it as "partial 16S ribosomal RNA". It matches the Rfam family "Bacterial small subunit ribosomal RNA", at positions 31 to 507 of the family's 1533-position model. The record is from RNAcentral.